GACCCGGUGUCUGGCCAGCCAUAGGCUACACAGGGACCCAGCCUGGUCUAGGGUAAAAGGAUUAGUGGUUCCCACUGGACUGUGUCCAGGAAGUCUGAUUUAGACCCAGGGAGAAAAAUGAAACAAUCAGCUGAGGGAACAGGAGCUGGAAGGACAUCCUGAGGUAGAAGUGGGGGUAACAGCCGUCACAAGGGAACAGCAACGGUGAAGAGGCUGCCUGUCCGCAGAGCUGGGACAAGAGCAGGCACACAGAGAGAGCAUAGAACAGCAUGUGGGGGCCACCAGAAGGCCUUUGAUGAAAGGCAGGAAGGAGCCAUUGGGGAGCUGCCUUUGUUCCCACUGGCCUUCUGAAGGAACUCAGUGAGUUUUUGAUCCCAGUGACCAAAGAAGCUGGACAGCUAUGCAGAGAAGGCAGGGGGCAUGGAGGGCCGCAGGAGUUGUUGGGGGCUGCAGGGGGCAUGGAGGGCAGUAGCAGCCUACCGGGCCUGCACCAGGAACAGGGAGAGGCUCCUGUCUGGAAAGCCAGGGGGAUGCCAAACAGGCAGAGGGGCUGAAGGAAGGAGCAGAAGAGAACGAUCACGCUAUGGAAAAGCAUGAAGAGGACCUGGGGCAAGGCUGAAGAUGUGAUUGGGCCAGCUGGUGACCUGUUGCUGGCCUCAUGCUUCCACAUGAAGAUGCCAGGCUGCAAAACGGAGAAGAAGGAAGCCCAUGCAGAGAUGGCUUCUGAGUGAGAGCUUAGGAGCAGCUGCCCGGGUGCCCGUAGGCGGUCAGAUUUCUAGAUGCACUUCCUGUUCUUGGGUUCCGCAAGACACCCUCUGGCUCUUUUGCAUACAUUUUAAGCAACUACUUCUGAAGUUGGGAAAUCAGGAGUAGCCGCUGACUCUAAAGAGAAACUAUAUCAAUUUGGAAUGUAUUUGCAUUAUCAGUGAGUUUACUGGAAGUAUUAAAGCUGGACCAUCACUUGGAGAUGUUGUAAGGAAAUGUGAACAUUUGGCGAACAGACCUUUAAAUAAAGAAGGAAGCCAUGGGAGUGGCUGAGAUCUCCCUGAGAGAAAGUGGAGAGAUGUUCAGAGGUAACUUCGUUUAGAAACUUUUAUUUAAAAAUCACAUUUAGAAACUAGAAGGUGUGGGGGGACCCAGUAAAGGAGACAGAAAGGGAUUUACCAGAGAGUUGCGGGAGCUACGAUUGUGGUGUCAAAGAACCAAAGGGAGGAGCAAAUGCAAGAUCUCAACCAAUAAGGAAGUGUAAGCGACGAAGGGCAGGCCUUGGGGUGGGUCGACUCAGCAGCUCCACCAUUUUACUGAGAGCCCAGGUGCUUUCUACCUCUCUGCUCUGCUGUGCUUGGCGUUGGCUUCACCUGAGGGUUGAAGGUUCUUUCCUUGGAUGAGAGAUAACUGUGAGUAACUGGCACAGUGGAAGGGAGAGAAAGGACACUUUCCCAGCCAUGGAAUCUGAGCUUCUGUCUUCAGUCUGAUUGGGCUAUUUUAGAUCCUGUGCUCACCCUAGCCCAAAAAGAUUCCCCGGAGAAAUGCCAUUUACUAAUACCCUUCGCCUAUCAGGAACCACCCCUGUGGACCCAGGAACAGGGUCUGUGUCCCUUGAAGCACGUGACAGCAGAGGACGGGAGGCUCCACCUGAACAUGACCAGGGGUCUCCUGGGGAGGAAAAAUGGAGAUGGAAGCUGCAGAGGAAACGAACAGCUGCCCCCACACAUGCCGUACAAGGCCUGCAUGGGAUGAUGUACGUAGAGCUGCAUUUAAUGUAUACUAAAAAUCACUGGGCCGUGUUGCUAACUUCUGUUAGCAGAGAAUGCAGAAAGGCUGUGGGAGCCUUUCAUUGCCAGCUCUACGUGACCCUUCCCCUUAUGAUCAACACCAGACCAGGGAUUUAACUACAAGGCCCUGCCUUACCCAGCUCUUUUUGUCCCCACUUUGCAAAGUUCCUAAAAUGUACCAGAUUUCUUUCUUCUUCAUGGUCUUAUAUGCUGAUCCCUCUGCGGAAAACAGUCUCUGUAUUUGUUGCCUUUUCUUACGUAGGUUUCACUUCAUGUCAUUCCUUAAAGAGCACUUCCCUGUCCUCCUAAACUGAAUUAGGUGCCCCCUCCCUGGCUUGUGUCCCUAUUGGGAUCUAGUUCCAGAUUGUAAUUAUGUUUCUAUUAUGUUCAUGUGUAGCUCUGUGGUAUGGGGGCCACAUUUGUUCUGCUCACUAGUGAAUCCUCAGAGCCUGGCACAUGGCAAUGCUCAAGACAUUUGAUGAAUGAAUUAGCUAUUUCAUGCACUUCUUCGUCUAACUCUCAUGCCUAUUGUCUUUUUUAAGCAUGUGAGACAUCUUUGGAGGUUAUUGAAUGUAAAGAUUUCUACAAAACAGUACCCAUUCCAAAAGAUUAAUGAUGUUUAAUAAACCUAAAUAAUAAGGAAUGCUUGGAAAGCUCAUAAAGUAACAGCAAUGGAACAGGGAGAUUUUUUAAAUCAUAUUUAAGUAAUUUAUUGCUUUGCAUCAGUUACCCUUACACAGAUAAAGCCAAGACUAGAGCAAAUUGGUGAACUAGUUAGUUCAACACUGUCUUUGCCCCAGCCCCUAUCUCACUAGCUAAUUACAUUAGCAGACAUAUAUCAAAUGUUUCCUCUGUGCUGCCCAUUGUGCUGGACUGUGAGAUUUGGCCCUGAUUUCAGUCCGGAUUCUAGUAGGGCUUCCAGCACCUCCUUCUCCCUUUGGGGCUUCCCUCAAUUCCAUUCAACAAAUAUUUAUUGAACUCAUAGUUGGGUGAAAGAAAUGAUGAAUGAGUAAAUCCGUAGCAAUACUUCAUGUUACUACUCACGAUGAUGGCUGUGAGGUGUUAACAAUAUUUUGAAUCAUGCAAGUUUUCAUUAGGGCCAUUCUAUCUAUUAAGGCAAGAACUGAACAAAUACAUCUAAGAAUGGGUUUCUACUAGAAAGAUUGCAACAAAUAAGUUUUUCUGAUUAGCCCUCAGAUAAUUCAAUUAACUUCUAUUACCAGAACGUUCAAGUCUGCUUUGCUAGCCUAUGAGUUUCCAUACAGGAGGGGCUGAAGGGCUGGCAAUCUGUUAGGAAGGCAAGCUGGAGUUUUGUCUUGAAGUCAUGUUUACACAGCAAGUAUGCUGUUUCUGCUUGGAUUCCAUGGCUAUUUGGCAUAGCUAAAGGUGGCUAUUGGAAAUCAUGGGGAAAUUAAAUCUUUGCCCCCUCUCAAUCAUUUAUUGGCGCUACCACUGAUCCUAGCUAACUGAAGCAUAAUUACAUUUUGUUUGUUUGUCAGACUUUCAGACUGCUCAGGCUUCAAAAUCCACAAGAUUUCAAAAAGAAAAUUUCAAAGGGAGAAAGAAGCCAUAGUCUGCUCUGAUAACUUGUUUAUCAAUUUAUUUUUCAAUUUCCCUGUCCUCUUCUCUCAGAGGGAAACAUGAGUGAGAACCUGACUCGCAACCCCUAUGAGAUAGAGAAUAUUUGCCUUUUUUUUUGGUUGAUUGCUGGGCUUGAAAAGAAAAAAAAAGACAGAAAAUAAAAAAGGUUAGAAGUCGGGCAUGAUGGCUUACGCCUAUAAUCCUAACACUUUGGGAGGCCAAGGCAGGCAGAUCACUUGAGCCCAGGAGUUCAAGACCAGUCUGGGUAACAUGGCGAAACUUCGUCUCUACAAAAAAUACAAAAAUUAACCAAGUGCAGUGGUGCAUGCCUGUAGUCCCAGCUACUUGGGAGGCUAAGGCAGGAGGAUCGCUUGAGCCUAGGAUAUUGAGGCCUCAGUGAGCCGUAAUUGAGCCACUGCACUCCAGCCUGGGUGACAGAGCAAGACCCUGUCUCAAAAAAAAAAAAAAAAGAAAAGCCAAGUUAAAAAUCUGUAAACUGAUAAUAUGGAAACAUGUUUACCUACUUUACAGGAAUGUCAUAUCAUCAAAACCAGAGGAAUUUUCUGUGCAAAUACAAAGGAAGUAAUUUAAUAGUU
Molecule: long non-coding RNA, 3952 nt
Organism: Homo sapiens (human)
Lineage: Eukaryota; Metazoa; Chordata; Mammalia; Primates; Hominidae
Exons: 2
Source: RefSeq, a predicted model, not a curated record